Cinara cedri is the source of this 802-nucleotide non-coding RNA. The record is from the annotation of a GenBank genome assembly. Lineage: Eukaryota; Metazoa; Arthropoda; Insecta; Hemiptera; Aphididae.
UUACAAAAUUUACUUAUUAUGCAAUCGUUCACCAUACAAUGUCUAAUAGACGCACUGUAGAAAACAGAAUGUUACUCUAUUAUAGGGUGUCAAAUCGAUUUUACUGUGUGGAUACAGAAAAACUCUUUGAAAAAAAUGUCAUACCUACCAAGUUAAAAAAUUAUAUUGCUAAUUGUGACUCAGUGGUUGGCGAAAUCUGCGGUAAACACAAAUACUUUCAAACGCCAUCAUUACACAUUUUAGCGUUUCACUUACGUACACCACACGUUAACCCGCGGUUACAUUUAUCGGAGCUCUCGUCAACGCCACCGACGAGUACUAAUGCACAAAUUGUGCACUCCCUAUGACGAUGACGACGACGAUAAUUAUAAUAUUAUUAUUAUUAUACAUACAUAGUCUGCGGCUCUGCAGUGUUCGCUUACGGGAGAGAUUGCAAGCAGCAGUAGCAUUAGCAUCAGCAGACUACUAAUUAAUAAUUCAUUGUAGUCAUACAGCAACAGCAGGUCAGAAUAGAGAAAUGGUGGCGGAAACGUACUUAAUUAUUCCUCGAUGUUACCGAUGAUAUUAUAUUGUUAUUACGAUACUGCUGUAUAUGUGUCGGAAACCAUGCAGUGUAAUUUGAAUAGAAACGUCCUUUUCGUACCUAUAUGAUAUAUUAUACUAUCUGUAAGCAACGGUAAAUAAUUGCUAACAAAAAACGAUUCUGAGCGGAGUUCAGUUGAUAAUGUUGCUUUGUCAACAAUAUAUAUGCCAUACUAUGGUGAAAUGAUUACAGAAAUGUGCGUUUCUAUGACAACAAUGA